This 490-nucleotide ribosomal RNA is filed under the name uncultured bacterium. Its description in RNAcentral is "partial 16S ribosomal RNA". It matches the Rfam family "Bacterial small subunit ribosomal RNA", at positions 28 to 507 of the family's 1533-position model. The record is from RNAcentral.
GAUGAACGCUCGCUACAGGCUUAACACAUGCAAGUCGCGGGGCAGCAUGGGGGUUGCUUGCAACUCCCGAUGGCGACCGGCGCACGGGUGAGUAACGCGUAUCCAACCUGCCCUUCACCACGGGAUAACCCGGCGAAAGUCGGACUAAUACCGUAUGUUGUCCAUUGACGGCAUCCGAUUUGGACGAAAGGCUUUGCGGUGAAGGAUGGGGCUGCGUCCGAUUAGCCAGACGGCGGGGUAACGGCCCACCGUGGCUACGAUCGGUAGGGGUUCUGAGAGGAAGGUCCCCCACACUGGAACUGAGACACGGUCCAGACUCCUACGGGAGGCAGCAGUGAGGAAUAUUGGUCAAUGGGCGUAAGCCUGAACCAGCCAAGUAGCGUGCAGGAUGACGGCCCUAUGGGUUGUAAACUGCUUUUAUGCGGGGAUAAAGUGGCCCACGUGUGGGCUUUUGCAGGUACCGCAUGAAUAAGGACCGGCUAAUUCCGUG